This 433-nucleotide ribosomal RNA is filed under the name uncultured bacterium. RNAcentral describes it as "partial 16S ribosomal RNA". It matches the Rfam family "Bacterial small subunit ribosomal RNA", at positions 29 to 507 of the family's 1533-position model. The record is from RNAcentral.
AACGAACGCUGGCGGCAUGCCUAACACAUGCGAGUCGAACGAGAUCUUCGGAUCUAGUGGCGCACGGGUGCGUAACGCGUGGGAAUCUGCCCCUUGCUUCGGAAUAACAGUGAGAAAUUACUGCUAAUACCGGAUGAUGUCUUCGGACCAAAGAUUUAUCGGCAAGGGAUGAGCCCGCGUAGGAUUAGGUAGUUGGUGGGGUAAUGGCCUACCAAGCCGACGAUCCUUAGCUGGUCUGAGAGGAUGAUCAGCCACACUGGGACUGAGACACGGCCCAGACUCCUACGGGAGGCAGCAGUGGGGAAUAUUGGACAAUGGGCGAAAGCCUGAUCCAGCAAUGCCGCGUGAGUGAUGAAGGCCUUAGGGUUGUAAAGCUCUUUUACCAGGGAUGAUAAUGACAGUACCUGGAGAAUAAGCUCCGGCUAACUCCGUG